AUUGAACGCUGGCGGCAGGCCUAACACAUGCAAGUCGAACGGUAACAGGAAACAGCUUGCUGUUUCGCUGACGAGUGGCGGACGGGUGAGUAAUGUCUGGGAAACUGCCUGAUGGAGGGGGAUAACUACUGGAAACGGUAGCUAAUACCGCAUAACGUCGCAAGACCAAAGAGGGGGACCUUCGGGCCUCUUGCCAUCGGAUGUGCCCAGAUGGGAUUAGCUUGUUGGUGGGGUAACGGCUCACCAAGGCGACGAUCCCUAGCUGGUCUGAGAGGAUGACCAGCCACACUGGAACUGAGACACGGUCCAGACUCCUACGGGAGGCAGCAGUGGGGAAUAUUGCACAAUGGGCGCAAGCCUGAUGCAGCCAUGCCGCGUGUAUGAAGAAGGCCUUCGGGUUGUAAAGUACUUUCAGCGGGGAGGAAGGGAGUAAAGUUAAUACCUUUACUCAUUGACGUUACCCGCAGAAGAAGCACCGGCUAACUCCGUGCCAGCAGCCGCGGUAAUACGGAGGGUGCAAGCGUUAAUCGGAAUUACUGGGGCG
RNAcentral lists this ribosomal RNA (544 nucleotides) under uncultured Escherichia sp. RNAcentral describes it as "bacterial SSU rRNA". It matches the Rfam family "Bacterial small subunit ribosomal RNA", at positions 28 to 561 of the family's 1533-position model. The record is from RNAcentral. Lineage: Bacteria; Pseudomonadati; Pseudomonadota; Gammaproteobacteria; Enterobacterales; Enterobacteriaceae.